RNAcentral lists this long non-coding RNA (266 nucleotides) under Elaeis guineensis (African oil palm). RNAcentral's name for it is "long non-coding RNA (EGUI_LNC033206)". Lineage: Eukaryota; Viridiplantae; Streptophyta; Magnoliopsida; Arecales; Arecaceae. The record is from RNAcentral.
GUGGGGAUCUAUAUUUUAUUUGUUCUAUAGGAUUUUUAAAUGAUAUAUUUAUGCUUUAUUUUUUUCUCUAAAUAGUGAUUAUGGUGCCUUAGUCUCUAAUCUCUACUCUGGGGUGCUGAAAUCCUAAAAAUAUCUAGUACAAUAUCUGCUUCCAUAUGUUAUAGGACCCCUAAUGUUUGCAUCCAGUCUGCUAUAGGAUCCCUUAUGUCUGUUUUCGAUCUACUAUAGAACCCCUUACAUCUACUUUCACCUGCUAAAGGGCCUAU